CCUACGGGAGGCAGCAGUGGGGAAUAUUGGGCAAUGGAGGAAACUCUGACCCAGCGACGCCGCGUGCGGGAUGAAGGCCUUCGGGUUGUAAACCGCUUUCAGCAGGGAAGAAGCGAAAGUGACGGUACCUGCAGAAGAAGCACCGGCUAACUAUGUGCCAGCAGCCGCGGUAAUACAUAGGGUGCAAGCGUUGUCCGGAAUUAUUGGGCGUAAAGAGCCCGUAGGUGGUUCGUCACGUCGGAUGUGAAAAUCUGGGGCUUAACCCCAGACCUGCAUUCGAUACGGGCGAGCUUGAGUAUGGUAGGGGAGUCUGGAAUUCCUGGUGUAGCGGUGGAAUGCGCAGAUAUCAGGAGGAACACCAAUGGCGAAGGCAGGACUCUGGGCCAUUACUGACACUGAGGAGCGAAAGCGUGGGGAGCGAACAGGAUUAGAUACCCUGGUAGUCCACGCCGUAAACGGUGGGCACUAGUUGUGGGGACCUUCCACGGUCUCUGCGACGCAGCUAACGCAUUAAGUGCCCCGCCUGGGGGAGGUACGAGCGCGAGAGUAAACUAACGUAAGAAGUUAGAGCGUUGAGAGNGCGAGGCGACGACGAGGAGAGG
Molecule: ribosomal RNA, 602 nt
Filed under: uncultured bacterium
Lineage: Bacteria
Description: bacterial SSU rRNA
Rfam family: Bacterial small subunit ribosomal RNA (bases 1-524)
Source: RNAcentral